CGAGCGGCGGACGGGUGAGUAAUGUCUGGGGAUCUGCCUGAUGGAGGGGGAUAACUACUGGAAACGGUAGCUAAUACCGCAUGACCUCGCAAGAGCAAAGUGGGGGACCUUCGGGCCUCUUGCCAUCAGAUGUGCCCAGAUGGGAUUAGCUAGUAGGUGGGGUAAUGGCUCACCUAGGCGACGAUCCCUAGCUGGUCUGAGAGGAUGA
This 208-nucleotide ribosomal RNA is filed under the name Yersinia pestis. RNAcentral's name for it is "partial 16S ribosomal RNA". It matches the Rfam family "Bacterial small subunit ribosomal RNA", at positions 92 to 303 of the family's 1533-position model. The record is from RNAcentral. Lineage: Bacteria; Pseudomonadati; Pseudomonadota; Gammaproteobacteria; Enterobacterales; Yersiniaceae.